GGGCCCGCACAAGCGGUGGAGCAUGUGGUUUAAUUCGAUGAUACGCGAGGAACCUUACCAGGGCUUAAAUGGAAAAUGACAGGGGCAGAGACGCCCCCUUCUUCGGACAUUUUUCAAGGUGCUGCAUGGUUGUCGUCAGCUCGUGCCGUGAGGUGUCAGGUUAAGUCCUAUAACGAGCGCAACCCCUACCGUUAGUUGCCAGCGAGUAAUGUCGGGGACUCUAACGGAACUGCCGGUGCAAACCGUGAGGAAGGUGGGGACGACGUCAAAUCAUCACGGCCCUUACGUCCUGGCCACACACGUGCUACAAUGGUAGGUACAGGAGGGAAGCCACCCCAGCGAGGGGGAG
Molecule: ribosomal RNA, 349 nt
Filed under: uncultured bacterium
Lineage: Bacteria
Description: bacterial SSU rRNA
Rfam family: Bacterial small subunit ribosomal RNA
Source: RNAcentral